GGAAUAUUGCGCAAUGGGCGAAAGCCUGACGCAGCAACGCCGCGUGCGGGAUGAAGGCCUUCGGGUUGUAAACCGCUUUCAGUGGGGACGAAAACAGACGGUACCCACAGAAGAAGCCCCUGCCAACUACGUGCCAGCCGCCGCGGUAACAAGUAGGGGGCGAGCGAUGUCCGGAUUUAUUCGGCGUAAAGAGCUCGUAGGCGGCUCGGUAAGUGAGGUGUGAAAACUCCAGGCUCAACCUGGAGACGCCACCUCAUACUGCCGUGGCUAGAGUCCGGUAGGGGAGCAUGGAAUUCCUGGUGUAGCGGUGAAAUGCGCAGAUAUCAGGAGGAACACCAGUGGCGAAGGCGGUGCUCUGGGCCGGAACUGACGCUGAGGAGCGAAAGCGUGGGGAGCAAAC
This 400-nucleotide ribosomal RNA is filed under the name uncultured bacterium. RNAcentral describes it as "bacterial SSU rRNA". It matches the Rfam family "Bacterial small subunit ribosomal RNA", at positions 358 to 773 of the family's 1533-position model. The record is from RNAcentral.